RNAcentral lists this ribosomal RNA (433 nucleotides) under uncultured bacterium. Its description in RNAcentral is "partial 16S ribosomal RNA". It matches the Rfam family "Bacterial small subunit ribosomal RNA", at positions 29 to 507 of the family's 1533-position model. The record is from RNAcentral.
AACGAACGCUGGCGGCAUGCCUAACACAUGCAAGUCGAACGAGACCUUCGGGUCUAGUGGCGCACGGGUGCGUAACGCGUGGGAACCUGCCCUUAGGUUCGGAAUAACUCCCCGAAAGGGGUGCUAAUACCGGAUAAUGUCUUCGGACCAAAGAUUUAUCGCCUUUGGAUGGGCCCGCGUUGGAUUAGCUAGUUGGUAGGGUAAAAGCCUACCAAGGCGACGAUCCAUAGCUGGUAGGAGAGGAUGCUCAGCCACACUUGGACUGAGACACGGCCCAGACUCCUACGGGAGGCAGCAGUGGGGAAUAUUGGACAAGGGGCGAAAGCAUGACCAAGCAAUGCCGCGUGAGUGAUGAAGGCCGUAGGAUUGUAAAGCUCUUUUAGCCGGGAUGAUAAUGACGGUACCGGGUGAAUAAGCUCCGGCUAACUCCGUG